This 569-nucleotide ribosomal RNA is filed under the name uncultured bacterium. Its description in RNAcentral is "bacterial SSU rRNA". It matches the Rfam family "Bacterial small subunit ribosomal RNA", at positions 28 to 615 of the family's 1533-position model. The record is from RNAcentral.
GAUGAACGCUGGCGGCGUGCCCAACACAUGCAAGUCGAACGGGAACCCUUGGAUUCGUCUGAGGGGGAGAGUGGCGAACGGGUGAGUAACACGUAGGUGACCUGCCCCAAAGAGGGGAAUAACCACUGGAAACGGUGGCUAAUACCUCAUGUGCUCGGUGGUUCGUUCCAUCGAGGAAAGCUCCGGCGCUUUGGGAGGGGCCUGCGGCCCAUCAGGUAGUUGGUAGGGUAAUGGCCUACCAAGCCAAUGACGGGUAGGGGGCGUGAGAGCGUGAUCCCCCACACUGGCACUGAGACACGGGCCAGACUCCUACGGGAGGCAGCAGUGAGGAAUAUUGCCCAAUGGACGAAAGUCUGAGGCAGCAACGCCGCGUGGGCGAUGAAGGCCUUCGGGUUGUAAAGCCCUUUUCUGGGGGACGAGAAAGGACGGUACCUCAGGAAUAAGUCACGGCUAACUACGUGCCAGCAGCCGCGGUAAUACGUACGUGGCGAGCGUUAUCCGGAUUUACUGGGCGUAAAGCGCGUGCAGGCGGUUCUGUAAGUCGGACGUGAAAGCUCCUGGCUUAACUG